GGUGUUUAUCUCCCAGAGCAUCCAUCUCUGUGGCUCAGACCGAUGCAAUGACCAGACGGAACCAGAGCCUGCCAACACCAUGACGAACGGAUUGCAAUGUUUCGGAUGCUACAACUCAUCCACGGAGUCCUGCCUGGCCAAUCAACAGCGUGUGGAGUGUGUGGGCCCACAGAAUCGCUGUGUGAAUGGAAAAGGCCAACAGAGAUUGUUGCCAAUUGGCCGAGAUGUGGUUUUGAAAGGGUGUGUUACUACGAAUC
Rhincodon typus (whale shark) is the source of this 257-nucleotide long non-coding RNA. RefSeq lists it as uncharacterized. NCBI's taxonomy places the organism in Eukaryota, Metazoa, Chordata, Chondrichthyes, Orectolobiformes, Rhincodontidae. The transcript has 3 exons. The record is from RefSeq and is a predicted model, not a curated record.